GAUGAAGAACGUAGCGAAAUGCGAUAAGUAAUGUGAAUUGCAGAAUUCAGUGAAUCAUCGAAUCUUUGAACGCACAUUGCGCCCGCCAGUAUUCUGGCGGGCAUGCCUGUUCGAGCGUCAUUACAACCCUCAGGCCCCCGGGCCUGGUGUUGGGGAUCGGCGGAGCCCCCCGUGGGCACACGCCGUCCCCCAAAUACAGUGGCGGUCCCGCCGCAGCUUCCAUCGCGUAGUAGCUAACACCUCGCGACUGGAGAGCGGCGCGGCCACGCCGUAAAACACCCAACUCUUCUGAAGUUGACCUCGAAUCAGGUAGGAAUACCCGCUGAACUUAAGCAUAUCAAUAAGCGGAGGA
Molecule: unclassified non-coding RNA, 352 nt
Filed under: soil metagenome
Description: partial contains 5.8S ribosomal RNA, internal transcribed spacer 2, and large subunit ribosomal RNA
Rfam family: 5.8S ribosomal RNA (bases 1-120)
Source: RNAcentral